This 301-nucleotide ribosomal RNA is filed under the name uncultured bacterium. Its description in RNAcentral is "partial 16S ribosomal RNA". It matches the Rfam family "Bacterial small subunit ribosomal RNA", at positions 509 to 807 of the family's 1533-position model. The record is from RNAcentral.
CAGUAGCCGCGGGAACACGUAGGGUGCGAGCGUUAAUCGGAAUUACUGGGCGUAAAGCGUGCGCAGGCGGUUUUGUAAGACAGGCGUGAAAUCCCCGGGCUCAACCUGGGAAUGGCGCUUGUGACUGCAAAGCUAGAGUGCGGCAGAGGGGGAUGGAAUUCCGCGUGUAGCAGUGAAAUGCGUAGAUAUGCGGAGGAACACCGAUGGCGAAGGCAAUCCCCUGGGCCUGCACUGACGCUCAUGCACGAAAGCGUGGGGAGCAAACAGGAUUAGAUACCCCAGUAGUCCCUGUCUCUUAUAC